UAGUAACACGUGGAUACAAACCCUUGAGAUGUGAAUAACUCAUCGAAAGAUGAGCUAAUACUCAAUGGUCCGGGCGCUUAGUAAUUAGCUUCCGGUAAGGACUAGAGCAUCUAUUCCGCUCAAGGAUUGGUCCGCGGCCUAUCAGCUAGUUGGUGAGGUAAUGGCUCACCAAGGCUAUGACGGGUAGGGGAUGUGAGAGCAUGUUCCCCAACGACGGCGCUGCGAUACGGGCCGUACUCCUACGGGAGGCAGCAGUCGAGAAUAUUGGUCAAUGGGCGAAAGCCUGAACCAGCGACGCCGCGUGCAGGAAGAAGGCCUUCGGGUUGUAAACUGCUUUUCUGGAAGAGGAACCUUCGGGUGACAGUACUCCAGGAAUAAGGAGAUCCUAACUCUGUGCCAGCAGGAGCGGUAAUACAGAGUCUUCAAGCGUUAUUCGGAUUUAUUGGGCGUAAAGGGUCCGUAGGCGGUCAGGAAAGUCUUUGGUUAAAUCCCAAGGCUCAACUUUGGGGGUGCCAGAGAUACUACUACUAGAGGGCGCUAGAGGCUGAUGGAACGGUCGGUGUAGUGGUGAAAUACGUUGAUAUCGACCGGAACACCAAAAGCGAAGGCAUUCAGCUGGGGCGACCCUGACGCUGAGGGACGAAAGCGUGGGGAUCAAAAAGGAUUAGAUACCCUUGUAGUCCACGCUGUAAACGAUGGACACUGACUAUCUGAAGUGUCGACCCUUCAGGUGGCGAAGCUAACGCGUUAAGUGUCCCGCCUGGGAAUUACGCCGCAAGGCUAAAACUCAAAGGAAUAGACGGGGAUUCACACAAGCGGUGGAUCAUGUGGCUCAAUUCGUCAACAAACGAAGAACCUUACCAGGGUUUGAAACCCCGACGAAAGCUAUCUGAAAAGAUGGUCUUCUCACAAGGACGGCGGGGCAGGUGCUGCACGUCGUCGUCAGCAUGUAUCUUGAGACGCUCCCUUAAAUGGGGUAACAUGCGCAACCCCUGUUCUGCGUUUUAACUGUCGCAGAAGACUGCCAGGGAUAACCUGGAGGAAGGUGGGGAUGACGCCAGAUCAACGUGGUCCUUGAUACCUGGGCUGCACACAUGAUACAAUGGGGCCGACAAUGGGUUGCCAAAGCGUAAGCUGGAGCUAAUCCCACCAACGGUCUCUCAGUUCGGAUUGAGGUCU
This 1179-nucleotide ribosomal RNA is filed under the name uncultured bacterium. RNAcentral's name for it is "bacterial SSU rRNA". It matches the Rfam family "Bacterial small subunit ribosomal RNA", at positions 108 to 1306 of the family's 1533-position model. The record is from RNAcentral.